CGAGACCGAGAAACGAGUACGUAUUUGUUUUACAAAUGGAGUACGGAGCGUGGCGAGGGCAACACGCGGCCGCAAUAAAUGCCAACGCGAUUUUAUGGCGCGAUCAAAUGAUUUUUCGUCGCCGUGAACGACGCCACGAAACAAUGAGCUUCGGUUUCGCCUCGCCUCGUCGUCUGACCAGAAACAACGCCGGGCCCAUUCCCCUUCGCGCUCGUUUACGGGCUCGUCGAAAAAACAACAGACAUAAAAGUCGUAUUUUGUGAUAACUUUUAAGAAAAUUCCGAACGACAGUUAGUUUGAGAUGCCACCGGAAUGGAAAUCGAUGAUUAAUUUCACCGAUACGACGAUGAAAUUGUGAGUCAUAUCGGGUACCGGAUGUCGCAUUUACUUGGUGUCCGCGCCGACAAGGAACAGCUCGUCCCCCGAGCAACCGUGGAAGACACCGAUGCCAUAAGGCUAUAUACGUGGCGUGGUUCGAACCGGACACGGUAGCGUAUACCGGCAUUUUAUUUCGCCUCUAAUGAUUCUUCAAAACAAGCUUUAUGUCCCGGACGGGCCGGUCGGACCAUAUUUGGCGCGGCGCUUUUAUCGCAAUGUUUUCUGCCUGUUCGUGUCCCGGGGGCAGAGAAGCAAACGCGCACUGCGGCGCCGCGCGAGAACAGAAGAAGACAGGUGGCAACUAUCGGUCCCGAAGACGCGAAUAAGAAGAACCGAUCGUCGUUAUGAUAUUUUUUUCAUCGCACCCUUUGCUCGUACGAAUACCAAUUAGACCGAUUUCGUCGUCCGAGAAAAAAGCCACCGAGUCACCCUCGUCUUUAUUCAUCAUUUAAAAGAAAGAAUAAAAAACAGAAUCGUUUUGUUAUUGUAAUACAAUUCAGAUCUCGUAUUCGCAAUUUUUAUAACCACAUAUUAUUAUAUUUUACAACGCUGGUAUUAUAAAUUGUAGAUACUCUUAUCUGCUCGAUAACAUUUCUUCAGAACUAAAUUUAUGCACGUCGUUUUCCUAUAUCCAUUUAUAAAACACAGGGACAUUUAUCUCGAACACCUUGCAUAUUAUCAAGAAGUAUGACACGUCGGGCAACAUAUAUCAUGUCCCUGACAGAAGAGUCUACCUGUCGCGCCUUAAUUUCCGUUUCUAUCUGUCGAAGACGGUAAUAACAGGUAACGAUAGCGGGCCGGUAGAUUGCACAGGGAGGACUUGCAAGUCGACACCGUCUGUCGGUCGGUCAACGUGAUUUUUCCAUUCAUCAAUUAAUCGAUCGCGUGCUCGAUAACACGCCGAUAAAUAGGUGCAGAUGUUCUGCGAAAGCCGAUUCGUGAACGUGCGAAUCGAAUGCGACCAGAGAGAAGACGGGUGGGCUUGUUUGUAUAAUCAAUGAAGUGGCUCCGACGUCGCGAGAAAAAGCGCGUAGUCGCGGAAAAGGCUAAUGCGCGGAAGAAACGAGACGAACUCGUUCGAUCGAAUAUGGUUCGAGAGUAAGGAAAAACUGCGCGGCUCUACUACGCGGAAAAACUCGAUGACGGUCAAAGGAGCAACUGCAACGGCUUUUUGUUCCGCGCAACGCGACAGAUGGCUAAGUUCUUCAUCUAAAGUAGUGCUCGGUCCCUUUAACGGAAGGCACGCCGAUUCCAUCUUCGGUAUACAUUCGCCCACGUAACCUGUUCGCCUGCCUAGGGGAGCUCUCCUACAUUUUCUCUCUAAACCGCGCGCGGCUCCUCCAACAGGGAAGAAUAAUAAGCCGAGCCACUACUACGGCGCGCAACCGGAUGCGCUCGAAGUUGGAAGACAGCGCGUGGUUGCAAGCGGAGACGAAUGUUACGCGACGACGUUUAUAAAAUACGACAGUUUAAGAUGGUACUUCACAGACACAAGAGUAUUCGCAAUGCUCCUGUCUCGAACACCACUUGCAGUGUUUAGUUAAUGUAAAAACCAUCUCAAAUUCCCUUACUCAUCAAAUAAUCCUCACCUUUCCAACUUCGAUUUGAACGCUACGAAUAUGUUAAUGUGAAUGCUGUCGACUAUAUCUUUCGAAAACGCCUCGUAAGAUUGGAAAAAGUACACAACAUUCCCGUGCGAGUCACAAGAUGAUUAAUUAUUCCGCAAGUUCGACACACAAACGCGUAAACUGCACUUUGUAUGCAUUUAUGCAAAAAUUGAAAAUAUAAAGAAUGCGCAUAAUAUGAAAAAAUAUUUGGGAUACAAAAAACUACGCGAAUGAAAGUUCUAUCUGGAUUACAUUUCUUAAAUGUUACAAAUCUGAUCUUCGAGAUUAAUGAAAUUUCCAAAACGACAAUAGCACUGUACUAUCUCACGCACGGAACUACUAGUGAACUUCGGUUAUGUCCGACUGAUCGAUUUUCGCAUUCAUCGGCAGCGGCGAUACGUCAAUGGUUAACGAUGUAUUGGCUAUACAGUCAAUCCCAAAAGUUUAUGUACCUUAGAAAAACGUAUUUCCUAUAAUU
This is a long non-coding RNA of Ceratina calcarata, 2463 nucleotides long. RefSeq lists it as uncharacterized. The transcript has 3 exons. NCBI's taxonomy places the organism in Eukaryota, Metazoa, Arthropoda, Insecta, Hymenoptera, Apidae. The record is from RefSeq and is a predicted model, not a curated record.